UACGGAGGGUGCAAGCGUUAGUCGGAAUUACUGGGCGUAAAGGGUGCGUAGGCGGGAGCGUAAGUCAGAUGUGAAAAACCGUUGCUCAACAACGGCAGUGCAUCUGAAACUGCGUUUCUGGAGGAAUAGCGGAGAAAACGGAAUUCCACGUGUAGCGGUGAGAUGCGUAGAUAUGUGGAAGAACACCUGUGGCGAAAGCGGUUUUCUAGCUUAAACCUGACGCUGAGGCACGAAAGCAAGGGGAGCAAACAGG
Molecule: ribosomal RNA, 253 nt
Filed under: uncultured bacterium
Lineage: Bacteria
Description: partial 16S ribosomal RNA
Rfam family: Bacterial small subunit ribosomal RNA
Source: RNAcentral